RNAcentral lists this ribosomal RNA (494 nucleotides) under uncultured bacterium. RNAcentral describes it as "partial 16S ribosomal RNA". It matches the Rfam family "Bacterial small subunit ribosomal RNA", at positions 28 to 507 of the family's 1533-position model. The record is from RNAcentral.
GACGAACGCUGGCGGCGCGCUUAACACAUGCAAGUCGAACGGAAAGGCCUGCUUUCCCUUGUGGAUUGCGGUUACUAAAGUGGCGAAAGGGCGAGUAACACGUGAGUGAUCCGUUCCCAACAUGGGAAUAAGCCUGGGCUACUGCGUCUAAUUCCCGCCAGCACUGUAGUGUGGUGCGUGUGGUGGAAAAGGAUUUUGUUGUGGUCGGGGAUGAGCUUGCGGCCUAUCAGCUAGUGGGUGGGGUAAUGGUCUACGAGGACGGCGACGGGUAGGCGGCCCGGGAGAGUGGGCGUGCACGUGGGAACGGAGAUACGGCGCAGACUCCUACGGGAGGAAGCAGUGGGGAGUAUUGCGCGAGGGGCGGAAGACUGAGGGAGCGACGCCGCGUGGGGGAUGACGGCCUUCGGGUUGUAAACUCCGGUCGACCGCGAGGAAGCCACCUGGUUGGAAGGGGGGUGACGGUAGUGGUAGAAGAAGCACCGGCUAACUACGUG